Small nucleolar RNA from Capsicum annuum, 105 nucleotides. NCBI's taxonomy places the organism in Eukaryota, Viridiplantae, Streptophyta, Magnoliopsida, Solanales, Solanaceae. The record is from RefSeq and is a predicted model, not a curated record.
UAUUGAUGGUGAGGACAAUCCCGAAGAAGAACCUUGAAGCGCUCCCAAGCAUAAUAUAAAUUUUUGUCUGGCUUCUAUUUAAAGCACACAAUCUCACUGCAAAGU